Molecule: ribosomal RNA, 280 nt
Filed under: uncultured Ascomycota
Lineage: Eukaryota; Fungi; Ascomycota
Description: partial 18S ribosomal RNA
Rfam family: Eukaryotic small subunit ribosomal RNA
Source: RNAcentral
UUGGAGGGCAAGUCUGGUGCCAGCAGCCGCGGUAAUUCCAGCUCCAAUAGCGUAUAUUAAAGUUGUUGUGGUUAAAAAGCUCGUAGUUGAACCUUGGGCCUGGCUGGCCGGUCCGCCUCACCGCGUGUACUGGUCCGGCCGGGCCUUUCCCUCUGUGGAACCUCAUGCCCUUCACUGGGUGUGGCGGGGAAACAGGACUUUUACUUUGAAAAAAUUAGAGUGCUCCAGGCAGGCCUAUGCUCGAAUACAUUAGCAUGGAAUAAUAAAAUAGGACGUGUGG